UUGGCCCACAUUGACAUGUUCACC
This 24-nucleotide microRNA is filed under the name Brachypodium distachyon (stiff brome). Its description in RNAcentral is "bdi-miR7724b-3p". Lineage: Eukaryota; Viridiplantae; Streptophyta; Magnoliopsida; Poales; Poaceae. The record is from miRBase by way of RNAcentral.